RNAcentral lists this unclassified non-coding RNA (2333 nucleotides) under Hevea brasiliensis (rubber tree). The record is from RNAcentral. Lineage: Eukaryota; Viridiplantae; Streptophyta; Magnoliopsida; Malpighiales; Euphorbiaceae.
UUGUUUUUGGUUUUGUAACGAAAAGGAAAACAAGAGUUUGUUUUGUAGUUUUGAAGGAGAUAUUAUCAUCGUUAACCUUGUAGGGAGUUAUCAAGUUAAUGAAAGGAGUCUCUAAGAUUACACUAUGAUGAAUAUCUUGAACAAUUACGAAUGAGGUUUUUAAAAGAAAACACCAUUAGCUAUGGAGGCUUCUGUCUUAUAGCUAAUAGCCAUUUUUGAAUUAUUUGCUGCUAAAAGUUUUUCAGUGGUUUUUUCAUAAAAUUUCUUUGAAACAAUUUUUUUUUUAAUACAGUUCAAAUCUGUUCCUGUAUCAAAUAAGACAAUUGUAUUGAUUUUGAAAUCUUUUGAAAAAAUAAUGGUAAUUUGUAUUAAAUAUUUUCAGGAGAUGAUCUGAUUAAGGAUGAAAAGAAAAUCUUCUGGAGGUUUUUGAGUUUCCAAACUAUUUUCUUUAUUUUUUUUCAGGUUCUUCCUGGGUUUUUGAAAAUAAAAGCUGGAUUGCUUUUGAGUCCUGUGUCUUUUUCUCUUUAAGCUGUUUAAGCUCAUUCUUAGUGGUUUUUAUUUCUCUUUGGAGGCAUUGGACUGGAAGGUUUUGUAAUUGAUCUUCAUGCUUUAAAACAUCAAGAUCAAUUCUUGAAUUUUUAAAAGCAAGUUGACAUUUUUUGCAUUUUCAUAUUCAAUUUUAGAAUCUGAAUUGGAUGAAUUAUUAAUUAAUCCAUCUUUUUGUGAAGGUAUGUUUUCUUCGGACUCCUAGUUGGAGUUUGAAGAGGAAGUUGAAGAAUUAGUACUCAAAUUUUGAAUGACUAGUUUUUCUUUUUUUAAUGAUUUAUGAUUGUUAGUGGAUUCAGAGAUUUUAAAUUUACUUUCUGUUUGUAAUUCUGGGAUUGAUUUUGGAAGAGGUCUCUUUUGUAAUUCAAAGGUUUCUUGAGGGCUUUGUUCCUCUAAAACCUGUUGUUUUGAAUUCUUUUUGUGAGGAGUUUUAUUCUUAACAGUAACAGGAUUAACAGACAAUUUUUCUUCUGCUUUCUUUAGAGGAUCUUUUGGAGCUGCAAUGAACUCUAAUUGAUUAUCUUCUGACUCAUGUUGUUUAGGUUUUGAAACUAUGAUUGUUAAUUUUGUUGAUUUUUUGGACUUUUUGAAAAUUUUUGAAAACGGAUAUGGAAUGUCAUGAUAAUUAGCAUACAUUUCAAACUAUUCAAAGAAAAAAAAUAUGAACUUUAUAUUCAUAUAGAAAAUCAUACUAUUCUUUUUAAAUUUCUUUCCUUCGAUUAUUGAAAUGUUAGAAAAAUCACAUUUGCUUUUUAUGAUUUUUAGGAGAAUAAAAAUCAUGUAAAUAUUGUUUGUCCACUUCAAAUUCUUUUUCAAGCACAUUAAGUUAAUGGUUUACAUUUUCUAUAAUGGCUGAAAAGGUAAGUGAAGUAGGUUCUGACUCUAGUUGGGUUUCAACCUGAACAGACUCAUUUUGUAAAUUUGUAUAACUGGAUGUGGAACAUUUGUAGAGUAAUCUAUGUUUUGUAAAGUAGAUCUAGGCAUUUCUGAAGUAGAAAACCUAGAAGUGCUAGGUAAGUCUGAGGUAGAAUACCAAGGCUGAAUAUUUUGUAUUCCAAAUAGUUUUGUAACAGGCAAACAAAUGAUAGAAUGUAUACAAGACACUUUUCCUAUGUCUAUAGUAUUGAAUGUUGAGGAAUCAUCUGAAAACCUAAGGCUUCUGUUAAAGCUAAGGCUGACUCUUCCAUCGUCAUACUGGGUUAUUUGCCUCAGUUGAACGUUUGGCUCAACUAUUUUUGAAGAUUCUGGUUCUACUGCACCUUCUAAGACCCAUUCUUCUGGUAGGGUUAUGUUCUUCCAUUGGAUAGAUCUGGGGAUUACAGUAUUAGAUUUUGUAAGAUUAGUUUGUAAAAGCAAAGUUUCUCCUCUUUUACUUUGAAACUUAUGUUUUGUGGCAAAAGCAGAAACCAUAGCUUUGUAAUGGAUUUUGUAAAUUAGUGCGAGUCAAACAUUUUGUAAUUGUGAGUUUUGAUUUGUAAAACAAGGGAUUUUGUAAUAUUACUAUUAUUUAACGAAACAGUAAAAUUUGGAUAGCAAUCAAAAGAUAUUAGUUCACUGCACAAACUAGACUCGACUGAACUAAGCAAGGAGUCCUGAAAGUUUAUGAACAUAGUAUCUCUAAGAAUUGCUAGGAUUGAGGUGUUCAAUCCUUCUUUUGUUAGCGGUUUAAUUUUAACUUGGACUAAACCUAUAUGGAUGUAUUUGUAUUAUUUUUCAUGAUAUUUUUGUAAGGAUUUUUGAGACAGAAGAGAAAUCGUCUCAAAGGGUUUUGUAAUCUGAAGAUCUGU